ACCAGGGUGGCAUAAUGGUUUGUGUGUUGGACUAGGAUUCAAGAGACCAGGGUUUGAAUCCAUGCUCGGCCG
This is a non-coding RNA of Phrynosoma platyrhinos (Desert horned lizard), 72 nucleotides long. The record is from the annotation of a GenBank genome assembly. NCBI's taxonomy places the organism in Eukaryota, Metazoa, Chordata, Lepidosauria, Squamata, Phrynosomatidae.